Molecule: ribosomal RNA, 811 nt
Filed under: uncultured bacterium
Lineage: Bacteria
Description: bacterial SSU rRNA
Rfam family: Bacterial small subunit ribosomal RNA
Source: RNAcentral
AGAGUUUGAUCAUGGCUCAGGACGAACGCUGGCGGCGUGCUUAACACAUGCAAGUCGAGGGAGUCCAGACCUUCGGGUCUGAGGCGACCGGCGGACGGGUGAGUAACACGUAAGUGAUCUAUCCUCAUGCGGGGGACAACCCGGGGAAACCCGAGCUAAUACCGCAUGGUCGGACCGGCUGCAUGGCCGGACCGGGAAAGGUGGCCUCUUCUUGAAAGCUACCGCGUGGGGAGGAGCUUGCGGGCUAUCAGCUAGUUGGUGAGGUAACGGCUCACCAAGGCAACGACGGCUAGGGGGUCUGAGAGGACGACCCCCCACAUUGGGACUGAGACACGGCCCAGACUCCUACGGGAGGCAGCAGUGGGGAAUAUUGGGCAAUGGCCGAAAGGCUGACCCAGCGACGCCGCGUGUGGGAGGAAGCCCUUCGGGGUGUAAACCACUGUCGGGGGGGACGAAAGCGCGGGCGGAAAAUACCCGCCCGCAGUGACGGUACCCCUAGAGGAAGCACCGGCUAACUCUGUGCCAGCAGCCGCGGUAAUACAGAGGGUGCGAGCGUUGUUCGGAAUCACUGGGCGUAAAGCGCGCGCAGGCGGGCGUGUAAGUCAGAAGUGAAAUUCCGGGGCUCAACCCCGGAGCUGCUCCUGAUACUGCAGGUCUGGAGACCGGUAGAGGCUGGUGGAAUUCCCGGUGUAGCGGUGGAAUGCGUAGAGAUCGGGAAGAACACCCGUGGCGAAGGCGGCCAGCUGGGCCGGUUCUGACGCUGAGGCGCGAAAGCGUGGGGAGCAAACAGGAUUAGAUACCCCGGUAGUCC